GACAGUGUGGUGUAGUGGUUUGAGCAUUGGACUAGGACUCUGGAGACCAGAGUUUGAAUCUCAGCUCAGACA
RNAcentral lists this transfer RNA (72 nucleotides) under Phrynosoma platyrhinos (Desert horned lizard). RNAcentral's name for it is "tRNA-OTHER". Lineage: Eukaryota; Metazoa; Chordata; Lepidosauria; Squamata; Phrynosomatidae. The record is from RNAcentral.